Macaca fascicularis (crab-eating macaque) is the source of this 148-nucleotide unclassified non-coding RNA. It matches the Rfam family "Metazoan signal recognition particle RNA". Rfam says of the family: The signal recognition particle (SRP) is a universally conserved ribonucleoprotein. It is involved in the co-translational targeting of proteins to membranes. The record is from Ensembl. NCBI's taxonomy places the organism in Eukaryota, Metazoa, Chordata, Mammalia, Primates, Cercopithecidae.
GCUGGGUGUGGUGGCGCAUGCCUGUAAUCUCAGCUACUCAGGAGGCUGAGACAGGAGAAUCGCUUGAACCUGGGAGGUAGAGGUUGCAGUGAGCUGAGAUCGUGCCACUGCACUCCAGCCUGGGUGAGAGAGUGAGACUCUGUCUCAA